CCUACGGGGGGCAGCAGUGGGGAAUAUUGCACAAUGGGGGAAACCCUGAUGCAGCGACGCCGCGUGAGUGAAGAAGUAUUUCGGUAUGUAAAGCUCUGUCAGCAGGGAAGAAAAUGACGGUACCUGACCAAGAAGCCCCGGCUAACUACGUGCCAGCAGCCGCGGUAAUACGUAGGGGGCAAGCGUUAUCCGGAUUUACUGGGUGUAAAGGGAGCGUAGACGGCAGGGCAAGUCUGGAGUGAAAGGCGGGGGCCCAACCCCCGGACUGCUGUGGAAACUGCCAGGCUGGAGUGCAGGAGAGGUAAGUGGAAUUCCUGGUGUAGCGGUGAAAUGCGUAGAUAUUAGGAGGAACACCAGUGGCGAAGGCGGCUUACUGGACUGUAACUGACGUUGAGGCUCGAAAGCGUGGGGAGCAAACAGGAUUAGAUACCCGAGUAGUC
RNAcentral lists this ribosomal RNA (440 nucleotides) under uncultured bacterium. RNAcentral describes it as "partial 16S ribosomal RNA". It matches the Rfam family "Bacterial small subunit ribosomal RNA", at positions 338 to 795 of the family's 1533-position model. The record is from RNAcentral.